GCCGGGUGUGGUGGCGUGCGCCUGUAAUCCCUGCUACUCGGGAGGCUGAGGUGGGAGAAUCAUUUGAACCCAGGAGGCAGAAGUUGCAGUGAGCUGAGAUUGCACCACUGCACUCCAGCCUGGGCAACAGAGUGAGACUCCAUCUCAA
Molecule: non-coding RNA, 148 nt
Filed under: Homo sapiens (human)
Lineage: Eukaryota; Metazoa; Chordata; Mammalia; Primates; Hominidae
Source: Rfam by way of RNAcentral